This is a long non-coding RNA of Malania oleifera, 1490 nucleotides long. RefSeq lists it as uncharacterized. The transcript has 3 exons. NCBI's taxonomy places the organism in Eukaryota, Viridiplantae, Streptophyta, Magnoliopsida, Santalales, Ximeniaceae. The record is from RefSeq and is a predicted model, not a curated record.
GGAAAAUCGGGGUCAACUUUCUUAAGGUCUGGUCAAGAUCAACUUUGCCACAUGUCGCCUUGUGAGUGGGUGAACAAAAGGGUUAAGGAUGGUGGAGAUGGUGGGAUCUUGAUCGUCCCCAGAAUCGAACGACUCAGGAGGUGACACGCCUCCCUCUGCAUGUGUGGAGGAGGAACAAAACUCCCUUUUCUUGUUUCUUUCCCACUUUGACUCUUCCAUUCCCGCAGCACCCCCUCUCUCCUUCUCUUCUUCGUUGGCAGCGUCGAACAACCCCUGCUCGGCAGUGAAGCUACCUGCCGCCACCGCAAUGUCCAGAUACCCCGGCGGCGCCUCUCCCCUCAUGAACGGCUAUCCCGCCGGAAAAUCCCUUUUGAUUCCUUCCUCAAACACCUUCACCAGCUCCGAGUAGCCCUCUACGGCCUUCUCUUGCUUUUUGCAACUGCUCUUCAAGAUCGGAUACAGAGUGGGCAUGAUCUUCUCAUCGGAGAACAUAGCCCAGAACCGGACUUUGGCUCACUCAUGAGAGUCCUCUGGCAAGAUCUUGGGGGAGUGGUUCCAGAGCUCGUCAAUGUACUCGAGGAUGACGAGGCACUCGCAGAUGGGUCUACCGCUGUGAACCAGCACGGGCACUUUCUUGUGAACAGGGUUGUGCGUGAGAUUGAUUUGUGCGUGAGAGUGUUUGGCCGUAUGUGAACAGUGUUGUGCGUGAGAUUCAAGCUGUCGAGACUCGAAGGGGCAGUGCUGGCAACAAAUGGAACUCGCGAAAGAUUUCUUGAGUCGUCGUCGAUGGAGGCGACUUCGUCUUUGGGGAGUGGAGCGUUGCGGCCUUGCGGGUGACUAGUGAUGUUGGGUGAAGGUGAACAACGGCGAUGUAGGGCUGGAAUGGUGACACUCUGCCGCGGCUACGUAUGGAGGUUGGUUACUGUGAGAGAGCCGAGAAGCUGAAGCGGGGUUGAGAGGGACUGCUGCAACUGCUUCUUGCUGUGUUGUGUGUGUACUUCCUCGACUGUUGCUCUUGCCGGCUGCUGGUGUGAUGACCGUGAGAGAGGUGUGGGCAAUGGAGACGGAAAAGAGUAUGGAGAGUCGGAAAGAGCUGAGCAAGGGGUUGGCCGUGAAUAUGGUGGCAAUGCGGAGAUGAUGGUGGAAUGAUCGUUUGCAAGCACAGUAGACAGAGAGGACGGUAGAGCAGGUGACUGUUUGGGAGUCUUGCAGGUGAUCGUUCGAACGGUCAAGCGAGAAAGUUAUUUAAACUCGAAAAUGGGGAAGCUUGGUGAUCUAGGUGGCAACGAGAGAAUGGAAAGCUUGGCAUCCUGUUAUUUCAUUUUUGUUUUUGUAUUUUCCUUUCUUUUAUUCUGUGAUGUACCCUCGAGUUGCUUGUACUACAACUUCACUUUGUACAACUUUUAUUUUCAUUUCUAGUUGGAAGCUUUGUAUGUAUUAUUUCCCUGGACCUUACAUAUAUACCAAUGUACCUCCACCCCCUUGUACUA